This 253-nucleotide ribosomal RNA is filed under the name uncultured bacterium. RNAcentral describes it as "partial 16S ribosomal RNA". It matches the Rfam family "Bacterial small subunit ribosomal RNA", at positions 524 to 776 of the family's 1533-position model. The record is from RNAcentral.
UACGGGGGGAGCAAGCGUUGUUCGGAUUUACUGGGCGUAAAGGGCGCGUAGGCGGCGCAACAAGUCACUUGUGAAAUCUCCGGGCUUAACCCGGAGCGGCCAAGUGAUACUGUCGUGCUAGAGUGCGGAAGGGGCUACUGGAAUUCUCGGUGUAGCGGUGAAAUGCGUAGAUAUCGGGAGGAACACCGAUGGCGAAGGCAAUCCCCUGGACCUGUACUGACGCUCAUGCACGAAAGCGUGGGGAGCAAACAGG